Molecule: ribosomal RNA, 656 nt
Filed under: Borreliella spielmanii
Lineage: Bacteria; Pseudomonadati; Spirochaetota; Spirochaetia; Spirochaetales; Borreliaceae
Description: (Borrelia spielmanii (ex Richter et al. 2004) Richter et al. 2006) partial 23S ribosomal RNA
Rfam family: Bacterial large subunit ribosomal RNA
Source: RNAcentral
GGUCAAAGUAAUAAGAGUCUAUGGUGAAUGCCUAGGAGCUUUAAGGCGAAGAAGGUCGUGGUAAGCUGCGAAAAGCUUGGGGGAGAAGCAAACAUUUAUUGAUCCCAAGAUUACCGAAUGGAGUAAUCCAGCUAGCAAGAUGCUAGCUAUCUAUUAUCUAAAUAAUAGAGGUGAUACCAGGGGAAGUGAACCAUCUAAGUACCCUGAGGAAAAGAAAUCAAAGAGAUUCCCUUAGUAGUGGCGAGCGAAAGGGGAAUAGCCCAAACUUUAAAUGUGUCAAGUUGCAGAGCGUUGCAUUUAGAGGGUUGUAGGACGUUUAGGCUUAGUCUGUGAUAAGCAAAAAAGUUACAAAAUAUUUAUAUAGAAGAAUAAUCUGGAAAGUUUAACCAAAGAAGGUGAUAGUCCUGUAAUUUAAAUGUAAAUAUCUUUUUAAAAUGUUCCUGAGUAGGACGAGGCACGAGAAACCUUGUUUGAAGCUGGGGAGACCACUCUCCAAGGCUAAAUACUAAAAAGCUACCGAUAGAGAAGAGUACCGUGAGGGAAAGGUGAAAAGAACCCCGGGAGGGGAGUGAAAUAGAACUGAAACCGUAGACUUACAAGCAGUCAAAGCCGCGAUUUAUUGCGGUGAUGGCGUGCCUUUUGCAUAAUGAACCUGC